AACGAACGCUGGCGGCAUGCCUAACACAUGCAAGUCGAACGAGACCUUCGGGUCUAGUGGCGCACGGGUGCGUAACGCGUGGGAACCUGCCCUUAGGUUCGGAAUAACUCCCCGAAAGGGGUGCUAAUACCGGAUAAUGUCUUCGGACCAAAGAUUUAUCGCCUUUGGAUGGGCCCGCGUUGGAUUAGCUAGUUGGUAGGGUAAAAGCCUACCAAGGCGACGAUCCAUAGCUGGUCUGAGAGGAUGAUCAGCCACACUGGGACUGAGACACGGCCCAGACUCCUACGGAAGGCAGCAGUGGGGAAUAUUGGACAAUGGGCGAAAGCCUGAUCCAGCAAUGCCGCGUAAGUGAUGAAGGCCUUAGGGUUGUAAAGCUCUUUUACCCGGGAUGAUAAUGACGGUACCGGGAGAAUAAGCUCCGGCUAACUCCGUG
This 433-nucleotide ribosomal RNA is filed under the name uncultured bacterium. RNAcentral describes it as "partial 16S ribosomal RNA". It matches the Rfam family "Bacterial small subunit ribosomal RNA", at positions 29 to 507 of the family's 1533-position model. The record is from RNAcentral.